GACGCUCCCAGAGGAAUCAGCCUCGGCUAACUCCGUGCCAGCAGCCGCGGUAAUACGGAGGAUGCAAGCGUUAUCCGGAAUGAUUGGGCGUAAAGCGUCCGCAGGUGGCAGUUCAAGUCUGCUGUCAAAGACCGGGGCUCAACCUCGGAAAGGCAGUGGAAACUGAACAGCUAGAGUAUGGUAGGGGCAAAGGGAAUUCCUGGUGUAGCGGUGAAAUGCGUAGAGAUCAGGAAGAACAUCGGUGGCGAAGGCGCUUUGCUGGACCAUAACUGACACUCAGGGACGAAAGCUAGGGGAGCGAAUGGGAUUAGAUACCCCAGUAGUCCUAGCCGUAAACGAUGGAUACUAGGUGUUGUCUGUAUCGACCCGGACAGUGCCGUAGCUAACGCGUUAAGUAUCCCGCCUGGGGAGUACGCACGCAAGUGUGAAACUC
This 433-nucleotide ribosomal RNA is filed under the name uncultured bacterium. RNAcentral's name for it is "bacterial SSU rRNA". It matches the Rfam family "Bacterial small subunit ribosomal RNA", at positions 471 to 902 of the family's 1533-position model. The record is from RNAcentral.